CGGCGGACGGGUGAGUAACACGUGGGUAACCUACUUAUAAGACUGGGACAACUUCGGGAAACCGGAGCUAAUACCGGAUAAGAUAUCGAACCGCAUGGUUCGAUAGUGAAAGAUGGUUUUGCUAUCACUUAUAGAUGGACCCGCGCCGUAUUAGCUAGUUGGUGAGGUAACGGCUCACCAAGGCAACGAUACGUAGCCGACCUGAGAGGGUGAUCGGCCACACUGGAACUGAGACACGGUCCAGACUCCUACGGGAGGCAGCAGCC
RNAcentral lists this ribosomal RNA (266 nucleotides) under uncultured Staphylococcus sp. Its description in RNAcentral is "partial 16S ribosomal RNA". It matches the Rfam family "Bacterial small subunit ribosomal RNA", at positions 96 to 355 of the family's 1533-position model. The record is from RNAcentral. Lineage: Bacteria; Bacillati; Bacillota; Bacilli; Caryophanales; Staphylococcaceae.